RNAcentral lists this ribosomal RNA (484 nucleotides) under uncultured bacterium. Its description in RNAcentral is "partial 16S ribosomal RNA". It matches the Rfam family "Bacterial small subunit ribosomal RNA", at positions 30 to 507 of the family's 1533-position model. The record is from RNAcentral.
AUUGAACGCUGGCGGAAUGCUUUACACAUGCAAGUCGAGCGGCAGCACGGGGGUAACCCUGGUGGCGAGCGGCGAACGGGUGAGGAAUACAUCGGAACAUGCCCAGUCGUGGGGGAUAACACUUCGAAAGAAGUGCUAAUACCGCAUACGUCCUGAGGGAGAAAGCGGGGGAUCGCAAGACCUCGCGCGAUUGGAGUGGCCGAUGUCAGAUUAGCUAGUUGGUGGGGUAAAGGCCUACCAAGGCAACGAUCUGUAGCUGGUCUGAGAGGAUGAUCAGCCACACUGGGACUGAGACACGGCCCAGACUCCUACGGGAGGCAGCAGUGGGGAAUUUUGGACAAUGGGGGCAACCCUGAUCCAGCCAUUCCGCGUGAGUGAAGAAGGCCUUCGGGUUGUAAAGCUCUUUCGGCAGGAACGAAACGGUGAGCUCUAACAUAGCUUGCUAAUGACGGUACCUGAAGAAGAAGCACCGGCUAACUACGUG